Molecule: ribosomal RNA, 515 nt
Filed under: uncultured bacterium
Lineage: Bacteria
Description: partial 16S ribosomal RNA
Rfam family: Bacterial small subunit ribosomal RNA
Source: RNAcentral
GAUGAACGCUGGCGGCGUGCCUAAUACAUGCAAGUCGAGCGAAUGGAUUAAGAGCUUGCUCUUAUGAAGUUAGCGGCGGACGGGUGAGUAACACGUGGGUAACCUGCCCAUAAGACUGGGAUAACUCCGGGAAACCGGGGCUAAUACCGGAUAACAUUUUGAACCGCAUGGUUCGAAAUUGAAAGGCGGCUUCGGCUGUCACUUAUGGAUGGACCCGCGUCGCAUUAGCUAGUUGGUGAGGUAACGGCUCACCAAGGCAACGAUGCGUAGCCGACCGGAGAGGGUGAUCGGCCACACUGGGACUGAGACACGGCCCAGACUCCUACGGGAGGAAGCAGUAGGGAAUCUUCCGCAAUGGACGAAAGUCUGACGGAGCAACGCCGCGUGAGUGACGAAGGCUUUCGGGUCGUAAAACUCUGUUGUUAGGGAAGAACAAGUGCUAGUUGAAUAAGCUGGCACCUUGACGGUACCUAACCAGAAAGCCACGGCUAACUACGUGCCAGCCGCCGCCGUAA